Molecule: ribosomal RNA, 459 nt
Filed under: uncultured bacterium
Lineage: Bacteria
Description: partial 16S ribosomal RNA
Rfam family: Bacterial small subunit ribosomal RNA
Source: RNAcentral
CCUACGGGAGGCAGCAGUGAGGAAUAUUGGUCAAUGGUCGGGAGACUGAACCGGCCAAGCCGCGUGAGGGAUGAAGGUACAGAGUAUCGUAAACCUCUUUUGUCAGGGAACAAAGGCGGGGACGUUUCCCCGGAUGAGUGUACCUGAAGAACAAGCAUCGGCUAACUCCGUGCCAGCAGCCGCGGUAAUACGGAGGAUGCGAGCGUUAUCCGGAUUUAUUGGGUUUAAGGGGUGCGCAGGCGGUCUGUUAAGUCAGCGGUCAAAGCCCGGGGCUCAACCCCGGCCCGCCGUUGAAACUGGCAGUCGCGAGUUGGAGAGAAGUAUGCGGAAUGCGCGGUGUAGCGGUGAAAUGCAUAGAUAUCGCGCAGAACUCCGAUUGCGAAGGCAGCAUGCCGGCUCCACACUGACGCUGAGGCACGAAAGCGUGGGUAUCGAACAGGAUUAGAUACCCCGGUAGUC